RNAcentral lists this ribosomal RNA (253 nucleotides) under uncultured bacterium. RNAcentral describes it as "partial 16S ribosomal RNA". It matches the Rfam family "Bacterial small subunit ribosomal RNA", at positions 524 to 776 of the family's 1533-position model. The record is from RNAcentral.
UACGUAGGGUGCGAGCGUUGUCCGGAAUUAUUGGGCGUAAAGAGCUCGUAGGCGGUCUGUCGCGUCUGCUGUGAAAUCCCGAGGCUCAACCUCGGGCUUGCAGUGGGUACGGGCAGGCUAGAGUGCGGUAGGGGAGAAUGGAACUCCUGGUGUAGCGGUGGAAUGCGCAGAUAUCAGGAAGAACACCUAUGGCGAAGGCAGCUCUCUGGGACGGUACUGACGCUGAGACGCGAAAGCGUGGGGAGCGAACAGG